This is a non-coding RNA of Myotis lucifugus (little brown bat), 55 nucleotides long. Lineage: Eukaryota; Metazoa; Chordata; Mammalia; Chiroptera; Vespertilionidae. The record is from Rfam.
GCUCAGUGGUUAGAGUGUCGGCCUGUAGACCCAAUGGUCCGGGUUCAAUUCCCGG